Molecule: ribosomal RNA, 440 nt
Filed under: uncultured bacterium
Lineage: Bacteria
Description: partial 16S ribosomal RNA
Rfam family: Bacterial small subunit ribosomal RNA
Source: RNAcentral
CCUACGGGUGGCAGCAGUGGGGAAUAUUGCACAAUGGGGGAAACCCUGAUGCAGCGACGCCGCGUGAGUGAAGAAGUAAUUCGUUAUGUAAAGCUCUAUCAGCAGGGAAGAAAAUGACGGUACCUGAGUAAGAAGCCCCGGCUAACUACGUGCCAGCAGCCGCGGUAAUACGUAGGGGGCAAGCGUUAUCCGGAUUUACUGGGGGGAAAGGGAGCGUAGACGGCAGUGCAAGUCUGAAGUGAAAGCCCAAGGCUCAACCAUGGGACUGCUUUGGAAACUGUAAAACUGGAGUGCAGGAGAGGUAAGCGGAAUUCCUAGUGUAGCGGUGAAAUGCGUAGAUAUUAGGAGGAACACCAGUGGCGAAGGCGGCUUACUGGACUGUAACUGACGUUGAGGCUCGAAGGCGUGGGGAGCAAACAGGAUUAGAUACCCCAGUAGUC